Molecule: non-coding RNA, 101 nt
Organism: Daldinia eschscholtzii
Lineage: Eukaryota; Fungi; Ascomycota; Sordariomycetes; Xylariales; Hypoxylaceae
Source: the annotation of a GenBank genome assembly
GGCACUUUGGCGGAGUGGUUAACGCGAUGCCCUGCUAUGAACUAAGUAAGUAGUGGAAGGCAUUCCCUUCGGGGGCGUGUGUUCGAAUCACACAGGUGUCG